GUGGCAGCAGCCGCGGUAAAACCAGCACCUCAAGUGGUCAGGAGGAUUAUUGGGCCUAAAGCAUCCGUAGCCUGCUCUGUAAGUUUCCGGUUAAAUCCAUUUGCUCAACAAAUGGGCUGCCGGAAAUACUGUAGAGCUAGGGAGUGGGAGAGGUAGACGGUACUCGGUAGGAAGGGGUAAAAUCCUUUGAUCUAUUGAUGACCACCUGUGGCGAAGGCGGUCUACCAGAACACGUUCGACGGUGAGGGAUGAAAGCUGGGGGAGCAAACCGGAUUAGAUACCCGGGUAGUCCCAGCUGUAAACGAUGCAGACUCGGUGAUGCGCUGGCUUGUGGCCAGUGCAGUGCCGCAGGGAAGCCGUUAAGUUUGCCGCCUGGGAAGUACGUACGCAAGUAUGAAACUUAAAGGAAUUGGCGGGGGAGCACCACAAGGGGUGGAGCCUGCGGUUCAAUUGGAGUCAACGCCAGAAAUCUUACCCGAGGAGACAGCAGAAUGAAGGUCAAGCUGGAGACUUUACCAGACAAGCUGAGAAGUGGUGCAUGGCCGUCGCCAGCUCGUGCCGUGAGAUGUCCUGUUAAGUCAGGUAACGAGCGAGAUCCCUGCCUCUAGUUGCCACCAUUACUCUCAGGAGUAGUGGGGCGAAUUAGCGGGACCGCCACAGUUAAUGUGGAGGAAGGAAGGGGCCACGGCAGGUCAGUAUGCCCUGAAACCUUGGGGCCACACGCGGGCUGCAAUGGUAGUGACAAUGAGUUCCUAAACCGAAAGGUGGAGGUAAUCUUCAAACGCUACCACAGUUAUGAUUGAGGGCUGCAACUCGUCCUCAUGAAUAUGGAAUCCCUAGUAACUGCGUGUCAUUACCGCGCGGUGAAUACGUCCCUGCUCCUUGCACACACCGCCCGUC
RNAcentral lists this ribosomal RNA (900 nucleotides) under uncultured archaeon. RNAcentral's name for it is "bacterial SSU rRNA". It matches the Rfam family "Archaeal small subunit ribosomal RNA", at positions 455 to 1354 of the family's 1478-position model. The record is from RNAcentral.